CGGGACGGGUAAGUAACGCGUGGAUAACCUGCCUCACACUGGGGGAUAACAGUUAGAAAUGACUGCUAAUACCGCAUAAGCGCACAGUACCGCAUGGUACAGUGUGAAAAACUCCGGUGGUGUGAGAUGGAUCCGCGUCUGAUUAGCCAGUUGGCGGGGUAACGGCCCACCAAAGCGACGAUCAGUAGCCGACCUGAGAGGGUGACCGGCCACAUUGGGACUGAGACACGGCCCAA
This 236-nucleotide ribosomal RNA is filed under the name uncultured bacterium. RNAcentral describes it as "partial 16S ribosomal RNA". It matches the Rfam family "Bacterial small subunit ribosomal RNA", at positions 100 to 334 of the family's 1533-position model. The record is from RNAcentral.